AAUACAGACCAAAAUUUAAAGGUAAAAUUGGUAUCUCAAUAAGUGCUGACUGGUUUGAACCAAAUACUACGGAUGAUGAGGUAGCUGCAGAAAGAAUACGGCAAUUUUGGUAUGGUAUGUACAUUCAACCAGUUUUUUCAUCUAAAGGGGAUUAUCCUGAUGUUGUAAAAGAAUAUAUUGCUUAUCAUAGUUCUUUAGAAGGUUAUAAACAAUCGAGGCUUCCACAGUUUACUCC
Agrilus planipennis (emerald ash borer) is the source of this 235-nucleotide long non-coding RNA. RefSeq lists it as uncharacterized. The record is from RefSeq and is a predicted model, not a curated record. NCBI's taxonomy places the organism in Eukaryota, Metazoa, Arthropoda, Insecta, Coleoptera, Buprestidae. The transcript is spliced from 3 exons.